Non-coding RNA from Aedes aegypti (yellow fever mosquito), 47 nucleotides. Lineage: Eukaryota; Metazoa; Arthropoda; Insecta; Diptera; Culicidae. The record is from Rfam.
CAAUUGGCCCUUUUCAGGGCCAAAAUAUGUGUACUAAAUAGUAAAUU